AGGGCAAGUCUGGUGCCAGCAGCCGCGGUAAUUCCAGCUCCAAUAGCGUAUAUUAAAGUUGUUGCAGUUAAAAAGCUCGUAGUUGAAUUUCGGGAUCAAUGUUUCGGUCAUGCCGUUGGUAUGUACUGAUAUUAUUGAUUUCUCACCUUCUAAAGAACCGUAAUGCCAUUAAUUUGGUGUCACGGGGAAUUAGGACUGUUACCUUGAAAAAAUUAGAGUGUUUAAAGCAGGCUCACGCUUGAAUACAUUAGCAUGGAAUAAUGAAAUAGGACAUCCGAUUCUAUUUUGUUGGUUUCUAGGAUCGAUGUAAUGAUUAAUAGGGAUAGUUGGGGGCAUUAGUAUUCAAUUGUCAGAGGUGAAAUUCUUGGAUUUAUUGAAGACUAACUACUGCGAAAGCAUUUGCCAAGGAUGUUUUCAUUAAUCAGGAACGAAAGUUAGGGGAUCGAAGACGAUCAGAUACCGUCGUAGUCUUAACCAUAAACUAUGCCGACUAGGGAUCGGAUGAUGUUAAUUUUUUAAUGACUCAUUCGGCGCCUUACGGGAA
RNAcentral lists this ribosomal RNA (544 nucleotides) under uncultured Glomeromycotina. RNAcentral's name for it is "SSU rRNA". It matches the Rfam family "Eukaryotic small subunit ribosomal RNA", at positions 552 to 1096 of the family's 1831-position model. The record is from RNAcentral. Lineage: Eukaryota; Fungi; Glomeromycota.